RNAcentral lists this long non-coding RNA (438 nucleotides) under Medicago truncatula (barrel medic). RNAcentral describes it as "long non-coding RNA (MTRU_LNC005999)". The record is from RNAcentral. Lineage: Eukaryota; Viridiplantae; Streptophyta; Magnoliopsida; Fabales; Fabaceae.
UUAGAUUCUGAUAUGCAUGCAUUGAAGGAGCUUCCAGUUGGAGUGCUUGAUGAAGACACGGCUACAUUUGAAGGGACUAAUACAUCUGGAAAUGUACAAAGUGAAGUACAUGCUGAAAACGAGGUAUUCAUUGAAGAACUCCCAGUCGGAGUGCUCGAUGAAGAGACGGCUAUAUCUAAAGAGACAAAUACCUCUGAGACUGAAGUACAAGCCGGAAAUGAGGUAUUCAUUGAAGAACUUCCAGUCGGAGUGCUCGAUGAAGACACAGCUACAUCUGAAGAGACUAAUACCUCUGAAAAUGAAGUACAAGCUGGAAAUGAGGUAUUCAUUAAAGAACUCCCGGUAGGACUGCUUGUCGAGGAUCCGGAGAAAUUUGAAGUAGAAAUAUCUAAACAUGAUGCAAAAGAUACUCAAUUAGAGCAACCACGGGUCGAAGAA